AUUGAACGCUGGCGGAAUGCUUUACACAUGCAAGUCGAACGGUAGAGGGGGCAACCCCUCGAGAGUGGCGAACGGGUGAGUAAUAUAUCGGAACGUGCCCAGUCGUGGGGGAUAACGUAGCGAAAGUUACGCUAAUACCGCAUACGAUCUAAGGAUGAAAGCGGGGGAUCGCAAGACCUCCCGCGAUUGGAGCGGCCGAUAUCAGAUUAGGUAGUUGGUGGGGUAAAGGCCCACCAAGGCGACGAUCUGUAGCUGGUCUGAGAGGACGACCAGCCACACUGGAACUGAGACACGGUCCAGACUCCUACGGGAGGCAGCAGUGGGGAAUUUUGGACAAUGGGCGCAAGCCUGAUCCAGCAAUGCCGCGUGCAGGAUGAAGGCCUUCGGGUUGUAAACUGCUUUUGUACGGAACGAAACGGCUCCUUCUAAUACAAGGGGCUAAUGACGGUACCGUAAGAAUAAGCACCGGCUAACUACGUGCCAGCAGCCGCAGUAA
This 496-nucleotide ribosomal RNA is filed under the name uncultured bacterium. Its description in RNAcentral is "partial 16S ribosomal RNA". It matches the Rfam family "Bacterial small subunit ribosomal RNA", at positions 30 to 523 of the family's 1533-position model. The record is from RNAcentral.